GUGGAGAUGGUCCAUAUUUACAACAUUUGUUGCAGACAAUGAGACAAAUGUAGUCCAUACUCCACAAAUUGCCAGAAGUAAUGUUAUUUGACCCAACAGGAGGGAGAAAGCGGAAUUUGUGUGGAGAGUAAGAUGCUGAUGUUUGGAUGUGCAGAGAAGAGUUUCCAUAUAGCAGGAAAAGCCCUUUUUCCUUUCUCUCCAGCUUGUAAGGAAGAGUCUAGAUAUUCCCACAUAGCACUAAGUUCUUCUAAGGGACAAUACUGGAAAAAGAAGAAAUCACAAGCUGGGGAAAAAGGUAUACCAGAGUUUAGUUUUGAGAAGGGAUGCAGUGCUUGAGAGAAGAAGCUAUCAUCCACAUGAACCAUGAGAGCUCUGAUUUUCUUCUGAGAAGUUGUAUCCAUGUGCCAGAAAACAAGUAGGGUUACUAUUACCCAGUCACAAGAGAUGAGUAUUACAAAUAAAAUACUACAAAAAAAAUAGAAC
Molecule: long non-coding RNA, 483 nt
Filed under: Pan troglodytes (chimpanzee)
Lineage: Eukaryota; Metazoa; Chordata; Mammalia; Primates; Hominidae
Description: lncRNA (ENSPTRG00000053356.1)
Source: RNAcentral